AUACGGAGGACGCGAGCGUUAUCCGGAUUCAUUGGGUUUAAAGGGUGCGCAGGCGGCCGUGCAAGUCAGCGGUGAAAGCCCGGGGCUCAACCCCGGAAGUGCCGUUGAUACUGCGUGGCUGGAAUGCGGUCGAGGCGGGCGGAACGUGGGGUGUAGCGGUGAAAGGCGUAGAUAUUGCACAGAACGCCGAUAGCGGAGGCAGCUCGCCAGGCCUGCAUUGACGCUCGGGCACGAAAGCGUGGGGAUCGAACAGGAUUAGAUACCCUGGUAGUCCACGCCGUAAACGAUGGGCGCUCGUCGUCGGCGACAGACAGUCGGCGGCCAAGCGAAAGCGAUAAGCGCCCCACCUGGGGAGUACGGUCGCAAGGCUGAAACUCAAAUGAAUUGACGGGA
Molecule: ribosomal RNA, 393 nt
Filed under: uncultured bacterium
Lineage: Bacteria
Description: partial 16S ribosomal RNA
Rfam family: Bacterial small subunit ribosomal RNA
Source: RNAcentral